This 914-nucleotide ribosomal RNA is filed under the name uncultured archaeon. Its description in RNAcentral is "bacterial SSU rRNA". It matches the Rfam family "Archaeal small subunit ribosomal RNA", at positions 6 to 926 of the family's 1478-position model. The record is from RNAcentral.
GGUUGAUCCUGCCAGACCUGACUGCUAUCGGAUUGGUACUAAGCCAUGUGAGUCGUUGUAGCAAUACAAGGCAUACGGCUCAGUAACACGUAGUCAAUCUAACCUAUGGACGGGGAUAACCUCGGGAAACUGAGGAUAAACCCCGAUAGAUCAUAAUGCCUGGAACGGUUUAUGGUUCAAAUGAUUCGUCGCCGUAGGGUGGGACUGCGGCCUAUCAGCUUGUUGGUGAGGUAAUGGCCCACCAAGGCUAUUACAGGUACGGGCUCUGAGAGGAGUAGCCCGGAGAUGGGUACUGAGACACGGACCCAGGCCCUAUGGGGCGCAGCAGGCGAGAAACCUUUGCAAUGUGCGCAAGCACGACAAGGUUAAUCCGAGUGUUUCCUGUUAAAGGAAUCUUUUGUUAGUCGUAAAAUCACUAUUGAAUAAGGGGUGGGCAAGUUCUGGUGUCAGCCGCCGCGGUAAAACCAGCACCUCAAGUGGUCAGGAUGAUUAUUGGGCCUAAAGCAUCCGUAGCCUGUUCUGAAAGUUUCUGGUUAAAUCCAUUAACUCAACUAAUGGGCUGCCGAAAAUACUGCAGAACUAGGGAGUGGGAGAGGUAGACGGUACUCGGUAGGAAGGGGUAAAAUCCUUUGAUCUAUUGAUGACCACCUGUGGCGAAGGCGGUCUACCAGAACACGUUCGACGGUGAGGGAUGAAAGCUGGGGGAGCAAACCGGAUUAGAUACCCGGGUAGUCCCAGCUGUAAACGAUGCAAACUCGGUGAUGCGCUGGCUUGUGGCCAGUGCAGUGCCGCAGGGAAGCCGUUAAGUUUGCCGCCUGGGAAGUACGUACGCAAGUAUGAAACUUAAAGGAAUUGGCGGGGGAGCACCACAAGGGGUGAAGCCUGCGGUUCAAUUGGAGUCAACGCCGGAAAUC